This is a long non-coding RNA of Salvia miltiorrhiza (redroot sage), 1169 nucleotides long. RefSeq lists it as uncharacterized. The transcript has 2 exons. The record is from RefSeq and is a predicted model, not a curated record. NCBI's taxonomy places the organism in Eukaryota, Viridiplantae, Streptophyta, Magnoliopsida, Lamiales, Lamiaceae.
CACAUAUAUAUAUAUAUAUAUACGUAUUUUUUUGCUAUUUAUGUGUUUUACGUCUCGUAUUGUUUAAGUUCUCUUUUUUUCUUUUCUAGGCGUUGUUGACGAAUCAUGAAAGGUGUUGGACAAAAACGGGAGUUGCAGGAUUUACCUUCAGAAAAUAGCAGUUUUAAUGUGAAUUUUUGUUGUGUGUGGGAGUUUCUUUUUGGGUCGAAAGAUACCUGAUGGGGGCAUAUUACUCAUUUGAUUUAUUAUGUAUAAUGUUGAAAGUAUAAUAAUUAUGAUCUGAAUAAAGGAAAUAAAUCCUACUAUAUGCACACAAGCAUACGCCACACUAUUCACUAUUCUAUUCUAUGUGCAUACACCACACCUCUUCGUUCUUAAUACUAAUAUAUUUCAUGCAUUCAGCCACAAACAUUUUACGCAAAAAAAAAUAAUUACAUUUGAAUUCAUUUUUUAAACAGAUUGCAAAAUCUUUGAACAGAGCUUUUGGCAGCCCAAUAAGCAUAAAUAAGUACCACCAAGGAAAAGCCCAAAACGUUGUAGAGACUGGAGAACCACCCAAAGCAUUGUAGAGAGAGAGAGAGAGAGUUACUUUCUUUUUCUAAUCAAAAUUAUAUCAUUUCGAUGGCACAUGAGAUUUACAUUUUCCACAUCUUUUUAUCCAUAUUUCAAUGUCAAAAUCAACAUUAGCCACAUAAUUUUCCAAACACUAGAAAUGAAGUCCAAGAAAAUCUUAGUUAGUCUUAUGAUAACUCGUAUAUCAAAUUCUAAUUAUGUACAGUUCGGGCAUUUAUAUUAAAGCGUCAACAAUUUGGGUAUCAAACUAUAUUUAUCCUACUCAUAGUGUAUGUAAUCUAUCUUUUUAUCCCUUCGAUUUUCAUGCAUUUUCCCCACCACUUUGGAGUCGCUUAUUCCUCUUUACAGCUCAAGGGGGGAAGAACCACCAAAAUACAUGAAAGAAGAGAAGAGAAAAGAAAAGGAAAAGCAUGUAAAAGCAAAACUUACUAGCAACGAAACAGGUGCUCCUCUGGUCAGCCGGCGACACCGCAACCACGAAAAAUAUUUAAGGCUGGGAAGCUCCUCUGGUCAGACCUCCACCACUUGCUUGAACUACUAAGUUGGCCAGUUUUGGGAUCAUAUCUUUGAAUGACGGCCGAUCUUCAGGAUUGCUG